This 520-nucleotide ribosomal RNA is filed under the name uncultured Lachnospiraceae bacterium. Its description in RNAcentral is "bacterial SSU rRNA". It matches the Rfam family "Bacterial small subunit ribosomal RNA", at positions 26 to 507 of the family's 1533-position model. The record is from RNAcentral. Lineage: Bacteria; Bacillati; Bacillota; Clostridia; Lachnospirales; Lachnospiraceae.
UCGAAGGAUGAACGCGUGGCGGCGGUGACUUAACACAUGCAAGUACGAACGGAAGAUAUGCAGAGAUUGAGUAUUUCGGUACAAAUCGAAGUGUAUUCUUUAGGUGGGACGGGACGGGUGAGUAACGCGGUACGGGUAACCUCGCCAAUAUACGGAAGGGGAUAACACUUAAGAAAUAGGUGACUAACUACCGCAAUAACGGCGCACAGUCGGACGCAGUCGGCCAGGUGUGAAAAACUCCGGUGGUAUAUGAUGGACCCGCGUCUGAUUAGCUAGUUGGUGAGGUAACGGCCCACCAAGGCGACGAUCAGUAGCCGGCCUGAGAGGGUGGACGGCCACAUUGGGACUGAGACACGGCCCAAACUCCUACGGGAGGCAGCAGUGGGGGAUAUUGGACAAUGGGGGGAACCCCGAUCCAGCGACGCCGCGUGAGUGAAGAAGUAUCUCGGUAUGUAAAGCUCUAUCAGCAGGGAAGAAAGAAAUGACGGUACCUGAGUAAGAAGCCCCGGCUAACUACGUG